GCUGACCAGGUGGUCCCACAUAUCAGGUAGAAGGGGGAGAAAUUUAUUCAAACCGUUUAUUUCCUCUGUUCAUCCUCUCUCUCUAGAGUUCUUCUCUCUCUCCUCCGCUCUGGGGGCAUCCGCUUGAAUCCCCACCAUCGGCGCGCAGAUCUGGACCCCGGAAGAGCAUUUUCGGAGGGGUUGAAGCACAACUAUGUCCUAGGUCAUCAGAGAGGGCAUUUGGAUUCGGGGACGACAGGAAGCGCAGAUCAAAUUAGAUGAUCGAAAUCCCGGGGUGAUUUCGCAACCAUCGGCAGUUCGUGGGGUUGAGGUUCUCUCCAUGAUCCUGGUGCAGCGAUCAGUGAGCGCAUCUGGAAUCCGGGAUGCCUGGAAGCGCAAAUCAUCAACAGCUCGCGGCUCUUUGUGAUCUGAUAUGAUGGAAGCUUAGGUCAGAAUCAGGUUUUUCAGUGUUGGAAACGAAGUUUUGCGGCGGGGGGGGGGGGGGGGGGGGUGUUCACAUCCAGCGGAAAAAACGCAUAAGCUGAGUCAACUAGAUGCUUCUUUCCCUCUCAAAGAAGCAUGUGCUAUAUGAUUUUCUGGAUAUUUUUUAGGCUGACGAUAGCCCAACGAUCAUAUAUCAGGUUGAACGAAUAGGAACGAAUAGGCUGGUGCUUUUUACUUAGGUUAUGGUGUUUCUUUACUUAGGCUGUGUCUUCGACUUAUUGUAUAUUAGCUUUUUCUGAUUUAACAAAACAACUCAUGUUGUCAUUUGUUAGUUCAGCAGACGUGUUUUCAUAAGUACAUAUAUAGUUAUUCUAGUUAUUUUUCAUAGACAUAUCUAGUUAUUUUGAACAUGCCUAGUUAUUAGCUUUUUCUAUUCUGAUAAUUUAUUUUGAACAUGUCUACUUGUUUCUGAACAUGUCCAUAUAUAGGUGUACAGCAUCCCUGAAUAAAAUAUGCUUACCUUUCUGAACAUAAUUGCUUAAGCGAACAUACUUGUUCUGCUAUGAAAAAUUGUUAAUAGAACUAGAGUUGAUAGAAAGGGCUGAGUUUGUGUGUUUCAUCUCUCACUCUGCAAAUCCUACAAUCCCUUUGGCGUGGUGGUCUCCUUGAUGCACCUGACUUAGCCAUUGGCUCGCCCACUAUCACUACUUCAUUUGGUAAUGUGCAGUUUUUUCCAAACACACGCCAAUUACAAUGCCAAGAGCACAGAAGCACAAAUUUGUGCGACAUCAUCCAAUGCAGUAUAUUUUUUUCUCUCCUCUUUUUUCCUACAGUACUAUUAUGCGGUGGUUAGGCAAUAAUUUCUUUUUAGCAGAGGCAAAUUUAUGCAUCUCAUUAGGCAAUUUCAUUGAAUAUUUAAUUUACAUUACCCCCAAGUCAUAUUCAGGUUAAAAGAAUCCCCCACCUUAUAAUUUGCUAUCAUCGAAUUCAGCGGCUGACUUGGCUUCUUUUUUUCUCCCCUCCCAUGCCCUUCCUUGUUACGACAAACACAAUUUUCCUGUUGUUCCCUUGUUAAACCUGAGAGGCGUGAAGUUUUCGUAUGAAUUGAGAACCCAAUCCACUUCACAUACGAGUUGUAGAUUGAAUCCUGCGCCUUCUUGCAUAGUGCAAAAUAAGUGUGCGGCGUUGGAGGUGUUGACCAAAUCUCUUCCACAAUUGCUACAACUUAGGUGUUAUCAGCAAUUGCCUGCGUAUCCUAGGUGUUUUCAGCUAGAUUGUUGCCAACAUCAGCUAAAUUAUUGCCAACAGAAACUGUAUCAUCGGAAACUGCUGCUGGCUCUUGAUUUGGAACAUGCUCAAUAUCAUGUACUGCUCCCUCUCCAACUAUUGCCUGAGUGCAAUAGAGUGGAUUUGCAUCUGACACAUCUAGAAAAUUAUAAUCAAAUUCUGGUGGAAGCUCGUUGAAGUCCAUUUUUAUCGUCUAUAUCCCUUGGGCUACUAUUCAGCAAGUCACAAACUGAUUAGACAGCAGCAACACCAGAGCGUUUUUUUACAUGCAUCGAAAGCAACUAAAUGUGAAUCAUCAGGCAAUAAUGUACUGUUAAACAGGCAGAUCAGUUAUUUUAUUCAGACAUUUCCUGUAUGUCAACUUUUUCUAGUUUGUUCAGCAUCACAAUCAAUCUAAUCAAGCAUUUUUAUCCGCAUUCAAUCAGGCUCUACAGCAAUGGAUUCAAAUUAGGUUCUACAUCAGUGGAUUCUACAAGAACACAUUUCUCCAGAUUCUUACGCACACGGUUUAAUUUUGGUGCUGUAGCAAUUCGAUUGUAAUUCAAAGAUAAAUUGUUUUUGCAUUUGUGGAGAAUUUUUUUCCAUGGAUCUAUCUUGUUGCUGGAACUUAGAAACAAAUUUGCAGAUGAUGGCAGCAUAAAAAGACUUUUUCGAUC
This is a long non-coding RNA of Panicum hallii, 2366 nucleotides long. RefSeq lists it as uncharacterized. NCBI's taxonomy places the organism in Eukaryota, Viridiplantae, Streptophyta, Magnoliopsida, Poales, Poaceae. The record is from RefSeq and is a predicted model, not a curated record. The transcript has 5 exons.